CUUACGGGAGGCACCAGUAGGGAUUCUUCCCCAAUGGACGAAAUUCUGACGGAGCAACGCCGCGUGAGUGAUGAAGGUUUUCGGAUCGUAAAGCUCUGUUGUUAGGGAAGACCAAGUGCGAGAGUAACUGCUCGCACCUUGACGGUACCUAACCAGAAAGCCACGGCUAACUACGUGCCAGCAGCCGCGGUAAUACGUAGGUGGCAAGCGUUGUCCGGAAUUAUUGGGCGUAAAGGGCUCGCAGGCGGUUUCUUAAGUCUGAUGUGAAAGCCCCCGGCUCAACCGGGGAGGGUCAUUGGAAACUGGGAAACUUGAGUGCAGAAGAGGAGAGUGGAAUUCCACGUGUAGCGGUGAAAUGCGUAGAGAUGUGGAGGAACACCAGUGGCGAAGGCGACUCUCUGGUCUGUAACUGACGCUGAG
Molecule: ribosomal RNA, 420 nt
Filed under: Bacillus pumilus
Lineage: Bacteria; Bacillati; Bacillota; Bacilli; Caryophanales; Bacillaceae
Description: bacterial SSU rRNA
Rfam family: Bacterial small subunit ribosomal RNA
Source: RNAcentral